Lates calcarifer (barramundi perch) is the source of this 724-nucleotide long non-coding RNA. RefSeq lists it as uncharacterized. The record is from RefSeq and is a predicted model, not a curated record. The transcript is spliced from 4 exons. Lineage: Eukaryota; Metazoa; Chordata; Actinopteri; Centropomidae.
CUAAUCAGUUUCACCUGUGUCCCAGAGUCUGCCCCUCACUUGUAUAUUUAAGUUACUGAACUAUGGACUUUUUUCGCUGGAUUUUCCCCCCCCUCUUUUGCACCGCCAUGUUUGGACUUCCACCUCUGACCUUUGAACGCAUCUCCAUCCAGCUGGAAGCAAAGACAGUCCUUCCUGUGCUCGGUCACUGUGUGAUCCUUUACUUUACUGCCUGGAGAGCUGCCUUGUUGCAUCAUCAUGAGCGCCCACAGCACAGUAGAUUUCCUACAUUUCCUCUCAGGUGGAUGGUCCAUCUUCCCUUUCUCUGUUUUUUGUUGCAGGCAUCCAUCAAAAAGCCAGCCAUUCCCCUGGUGACUGUCGGUGGAAAAUAACAGCAAGGAGCUUCUAUGUACCACAGCCGACACGCAGAGGAGGCUAGGACACCUCGCACUGUGAGAAACACAAGUCUUCACCACAGUGAAAUAUAUCUGAGAGAAUGCAUAAUGUUUGUGGAUGUGUGUGUUUGCCCUCGUGUGUAUGUAUGAAACACUCAUACUGGCUGCUGAUGCUGAACAAGUUUUAAGACCAAGAGGCAAAUCAGUCAGUGCAGAGAGCACAUCUGAUGCAGUGAGACGGGAAGAUUUGUAGUGUUGGUGUUUUCUCUGCAUAAUAUCAGGCUCCAGUGGCUGUGUGAUCUGUGUCUUAAUUUGAUUUUUAUAUGACAUUGUAUUACAUUGAUUGUAGG